GCAUGUCCACUUGCAAGAACCUCGAUUGCCCAUCACUACUCUACUUGGUUGUUCUAAAUUUUAUUGUGGCAUAGUUCAUGCUUUGCUAACAGCAUAUAAUGCUCCAAAUUCAAGCUCCCUGCAUCUCUUACAUCUUUGGUGGCUAUAAUUCAGCUCUCCUGUCAAUUGCUUAAGGCCUCAUCCUUGAAUGUGACAUGAAGAACAGAUAUUAGCAAAUGGUUCACGUAACUUAUGUAAAUGCAUGAGAAAACCUUCCAAGAUCAUUCUCUCAUUCAUCUAACAAUAGCCAUGUGAAGUAUGCAGGAGCACCAUUUUAAGAAUACACAGGACAAUGGAUUUUUCUGAACAUGGAGCAAUUGUUGAGGCUACUGACUCUCUGGAGUGGGUGACCAAGGAACAGAUGACUGGGCAUUCUCCUCAUGAGCAUAAAUCCAGAGGUUCUGUCUGUUUGAGGUCUCUGCUUCAGAAUUUGGUAUAAAUUUUAAAGAAAGCUUCAGAAGAGAAGGAUUUCUCCGAAGAGUUUCCUGAAAUCUUUUCAAGAAAAUUCCAAAAAAGAUGGAGCUAGCACCCCAAAAGAUAAAACAUUAAAACUCAAAAAAAAGAUGGAAAGAGAGCAGUGGAGGUGAGAAGUGUUUGAUUAGACCCUUGUUCAUUAGCAGUGGCCAUGCGAGGCUGGCUUGGGGUAAGUUAGAAGUCACAUGCACGAUAGUCAGAGCUCAUAAUGUAGAGAAAACAGGUAGCACCAUUCCCACAGACUCCAUAGUGCACAGUCACCAGUUCCUAAGUCUAUUUAAGAAGCAUAGGUUCUUAGAGAUGACUGUGACUGUGUGUGUGUGUGUGUGUGUGUGUGUGUGUGUGUGUGUGUGUGGAUACUUGUCUCCAUGUUUAUGGAUGGAGUAGAAGUGGGGGACAUUAGAGAGCACGCAUCAAUUAUGAAUUAGAUUUUGAAGUUUUAAUGCUUAAAAUAACCUUCAGUUCUGCAAAAGGUUUGCUUGCCAGAAUGCAUAACAACAUAACAACUCUCCUAUCCAUGAUGUCAACUGCUCUAUGAUGGGUUUGUAUCAACAUUUCCUUUCUUCAUAGUGCCUGGUGUAAUGAAACGUCUUUCAUGUUCAGCCUGAUGUCACAUGCACAUUCAAUACUUCUGUGUGUUUUCUUUUCUGUUCACAGCUUCUUAUUUGCAGAAAUAAAUUUUAGACAUAUGUUUUGUGAA
Ictidomys tridecemlineatus (thirteen-lined ground squirrel) is the source of this 1213-nucleotide non-coding RNA. The record is from RefSeq and is a predicted model, not a curated record. Lineage: Eukaryota; Metazoa; Chordata; Mammalia; Rodentia; Sciuridae.